UAUAGAGUUUUCUAAACUCCCAACCCAUGUGAACUUACCUUUUGUUGCCUCGGCAGAAGUUAUAGGUCUUCUUAUAGCUGCUGCCGGUGGACCAUUAAACUCUUGUUAUUUUAUGUAAUCUGAGCGUCUUAUUUUAAUAAGUCAAAACUUUCAACAACGGAUCUCUUGGUUCUGGCAUCGAUGAAGAACGCAGCGAAAUGCGAUAAGUAAUGUGAAUUGCAGAAUUCAGUGAAUCAUCGAAUCUUUGAACGCACAUUGCGCCCAUUAGUAUUCUAGUGGGCAUGCCUGUUCGAGCGUCAUUUCAACCCUUAAGCCUAGCUUAGUGUUGGGAAUCUACUUCUUUAUAGUUGUAGUUCCUGAAAUACAACGGCGGAUUUGUAGUAUCCUCUGAGCGUAGUAAUUUUUUUCUCGCUUUUGUUAGGUGCUAUAACUCCCAGCCGCUAAACCCCCAAUUUUUUGUGGUUGACCUCGGAUCAGGUAGGAAUACCCGCUGAACUUAAGCAUAUCAAUAAGCGGAGGAAAAGAAACCAACAGGGAUUGCCUUAGUAACGGCGAGUGAAGCGGCAACAGCUCAAAUUUGAAAUCUGGCCCUUGGGUCCGAAUUGUAAUUUGUAGAGGAUGAUUUUGGUGCGGUAUCUUCCGAGUUCCUUGGAACAGGACGCCUUAGAGGGUGAGAGCCCCGUACGGUUGAAUGCCUAGCCUCUGUAAAUCUCCUUCGACGAGUCGAGUAGUUUGGGAAUGCUGCUCUAAAUGGGAGGUAAAUUUCUUCUAAAGCUAAAUAUUGGCCAGAGACCGAUAGCGCACAAGUAGAGUGAUCGAAAGAUGAAAAGCACUUUGAAAAGAGGGUUAAAUAGCACGUGAAAUUGUUGAAAGGGAAGGAUUUGUGACCAGACUUUUUCUGGGCGGAUCAUCCGGGGUUCUCUCCGGUGCACUUCGCCCAGUAAAGGCCAGCAUCGGUUUUCGGCGUGGGAUAAAAGCAGUAGGAAUGUGGCUCUCUACGGGGAGUGUUAUAGCCUAUUGUAUAAUACCGCGCUGGGGACCGA
Molecule: ribosomal RNA, 1043 nt
Filed under: fungal endophyte
Lineage: Eukaryota; Fungi
Description: eukaryotic LSU rRNA
Rfam family: Eukaryotic large subunit ribosomal RNA (bases 464-1043)
Source: RNAcentral